This 376-nucleotide ribosomal RNA is filed under the name uncultured bacterium. RNAcentral describes it as "bacterial SSU rRNA". It matches the Rfam family "Bacterial small subunit ribosomal RNA", at positions 521 to 896 of the family's 1533-position model. The record is from RNAcentral.
UAAUACGGGGGGAGCAAGCGUUGUUCGGAUUUACUGGGCGUAAAGGGCGCGUAGGCGGCCAGCGCAAGUCAGUUGUGAAAUCUCCGAGCUUAACUCGGAAAGGUCAACUGAUACUGCGCGGCUAGAGUGCGGAAGGGGCAACUGGAAUUCUCGGUGUAGCGGUGAAAUGCGUAGAUAUCGAGAGGAACACCUGCGGCGAAGGCGGGUUGCUGGGCCGACACUGACGCUGAGGCGCGAAAGCUAGGGGAGCGAACGGGAUUAGAUACCCCGGUAGUCCACGCCGUAAACGAUGAAUGCCAGCCGUUAGUGGGUUUACUCACUAGUGGCGCAGCUAACGCUUUAAGCAUUCCGCCUGGGGAGUACGGUCGCAAGAUUA